Molecule: ribosomal RNA, 252 nt
Filed under: uncultured bacterium
Lineage: Bacteria
Description: partial 16S ribosomal RNA
Rfam family: Bacterial small subunit ribosomal RNA
Source: RNAcentral
CUUUUUGCUGGCGACCGGCGCACGGGUGAGUAACACGUAUCCAACCUGCCCUUUACUCGGGGAUAGCCUUUCGAAAGAAAGAUUAAUACCCGAUAGCAUAAUGAUUCCGCAUGGUUUCAUUAUUAAAGGAUUCCGGUAAAGGAUGGGGAUGCGUUCCAUUAGGUUGUUGGUGAGGUAACGGCUCACCAAGCCUUCGAUGGAUAGGGGUUCUGAGAGGAAGGUCCCCCACAUUGGAACUGAGACACGGUCCAA